This 273-nucleotide ribosomal RNA is filed under the name uncultured bacterium. RNAcentral describes it as "partial 16S ribosomal RNA". It matches the Rfam family "Bacterial small subunit ribosomal RNA", at positions 524 to 796 of the family's 1533-position model. The record is from RNAcentral.
UACGUAGGCAGCUAGCGUUGUUCGGAAUUACUGGGCGUAAAGCGAGUGUAGGCGGUUUGCCAAGUCCGUUGUGAAAUCUCCCGGCUCAACUGGGAGGGUGCGGCGGAAACUGGCAGGCUAGAGUGCGGAAUGGGAGAGUGGAAUUCCUGGUGUAGCGGUGAAAUGCGUAGAUAUCAGGAGGAACACCGGUGGUGAAGACGGCUCUCUGGACCGUUACUGACGCUGAGACUCGAAAGCGUGGGGAGCAAACAGGAUUAGAUACCCCCGUAGUCC